RNAcentral lists this long non-coding RNA (313 nucleotides) under Phoenix dactylifera (date palm). Its description in RNAcentral is "long non-coding RNA (PDAC_LNC013703)". The record is from RNAcentral. Lineage: Eukaryota; Viridiplantae; Streptophyta; Magnoliopsida; Arecales; Arecaceae.
CUAGCUCAAGUUCAUAUAAAGAGUUAAAUCCCAUCAUGAAAGUGGAUCACGAGUCACAAAGUUUAUGUAUCUUGUGUAACAGUUCUGAGCAUCUAGUGGAGUGUUGUCCUAGUUUACCCAACAUUAAGGCUGAGCAGACAAAUGCUCUAAACUCAUAUAGUGCCUUCAAGAAGCCCACUCCCAAUUCAUUCAGCCCAGUCUACCACCCUGAUAAUAGGUUUCACCCAAAUUUCUCAUACAAGCAAAAUGAACCUAUUCAGCAUCAAGGUGGUCCACCAGGUUUUCAGAAGAAUUUUUCCAGGAUAGGUCCAUC